CACCAAUCUGUGGGGGAGAAAAGCCGCUGGUUCAAUGAAGUGAUCUAUUCAACUCAGUGUUUCUCUCUCUUGCUCUCUUCAUUAAUUCCAUACUGUCCUGCCUUUUCAUCCUUUCUGUCUUUUGUUUUCUGUCUCUCUUACUUUUUAUUCCCCUCCUUCUUUCUCUGGCUGGCUGAGCUCUGACAAGGGGAUAGAAUCAAGAGUUUGGGAGAGGAGAGGGACAUUUGGGAGCGAGAUGGCGAGUGGGACGGUGGCGUUGUUCCUGUAUGGAUUCCUGCUCCUGUCUCUGUGGAAACCUUCACUGCAAGGAGGUGUAUACAUACCUGCUGGUGUAGGUGAAGCUGGGGCUGGAUUAGGAGCUGGAGCAGGAGUCAGAGCUGGAUUUGGUCCAGGUGGAGCUGGCACCAGUUUUGGGCCUGGUGGUGUAGGCACUGGAUAUGGGCCAGGUGGCGGAGCCGGAGUUGGACCAGGAGGUGUAGGUGGAGCUGGGGCUGGUCCAGGAGGUGCAGGCUUUGGCCCUGGAGCCGGUGGAGGUUACACCAAGCCAGGGAAGACGGGAGCUGGCUAUGGUGGUCAGGUUGUAGGCCAAGGCCAAGGCCAAGGAGGACUGGGGACUGGAGGUCUGGGGGAAGGAAGAGUUAGACCAGAAGGAGCUGGGGCCGGACCAGGAGGUUAUGGACAUGGCGGUGGUUUAGGAGCUGGAGGCCUUGGAGCAGGAGCUGGCAAUGGAGGUUGGGGUCCUGGAGGACAGGGGGCUGGACUAGGAGCUGGAGGUCUGGGAGGAGGAGGUCUUAGACCAGGAGCCAGACCAGGAGGUUAUGGACCAGGUGGUUAUGGGCCUGGUGCUGAUCUUAGUCUGGGCGGAGCUGUAGCUGGAGGUCUUGGUGGUGGUUACGGACUUGGCGGGGGUCUAGGUGCCGGAGGCCUUGGAGCAGGAGCUGGAGGAAAGCCAGAGAAGGCAGGAGCUGGCUACGGUGGUAGAGAUCCAGGAGGACAGGGGGCUGGACUGGGUGUUGGAGGUUUUGGACCAGGUGGCUAUGGACCAGGUGGAGCUGGUGCUGGACCAGGUGGCUAUGGGCUUGGUGUUGGUCUUGGUCCUGGGGGAGCUGGUCCUGGAGUUUUUGGUGGUGGUUAUGGACCCGAUGGAACAGGAGCUGGCUAUGUAGGUCGCAGUCCUGGGGGACAGGGGGCUGGAUUAGGAGCUGGAGGCUAUGGACCAGGUGGAGCUGGACCAGGAGGAUAUGGGCCUGGUUCUGGUGUUGGCCAGGGUGGAGCUGGUCCAGGUGGUUUUGGUGGUGGUCUUGGAGCUGGCGGACAAGGAGAUGCCCUUGGAGCUGGGUAUGGAGGUCUCGGAGCUGGGGGACUGGGAUCCAGAGGUACAGGUCAGGGGGCUGGAGGACUUGGAGCAGGCCAAGGUCUUGGAGCCGGCCAAGGAGAUGGAUACAGACCUGGAGGAGGCUACGGUGGUGCUGCUGGUGGUCUGUACCCUGGAGCUGGAGGGGCGGGGGCAGGCCAGAAACCUCCCAAAACAGGAGCAGGAAGCACACUAGGAGGAGAUGGAUAUGGACCUGGUGGUGCUGGUGGAUAUUGGCCUGGUGGCGCAGGUGGACAUGGGCCUGGUGGCGCAGGUGGACAUGGGCCUGGUGGCGUAGGUGGACAUGGGCCUGGUGGCGUAGGUGGACAUGGGCCUGGUGGCGCAGGAACUGGGCCUGGUGGCGCAGGAACUGGGCCUGGUGGCGCAGGAACUGGGCCUGGUGGCGCAGGAACGGGACCUGGUGGCACAGGUGGAUAUGGUCCUGGUGGCGCAGGAACUGGGCCUAGUGGCACAGGUGGAGUUGGCCUUGGUGGUUUUGGGCCUGGUGGCGCAGCAGUACCAGCUGGAGCACCAGUACUUCCACAGACUGGAGUCCCUGGGGGUGGAGCUAGAGAGAAGAGCGGUUGGAAGGCCAACAAACAAGUGCCAGGUGUUGGAGUACCUGGACUUUAUCAAGGUGGAAUAGUGCCUAGUCAAGGUUUCGGAGGGCGUGGGGUUCUACCAGGUGUUGCCACUGGAUCCGGACUUGCUCCCCAGACAGGGGCAGGUGUGCUGGGCCAGGGUGGAGUUGGAGCUGGCACUGGAGCUGGAGGUGGCCGAGGCAGUUUAAAUGGAGUGUUCCGUGGAUAUCCCCUCAUAUCACCUAAAUCUGGAGGGGCUGGAGGCAAAUCAGCUAAUUCCCAGGCCAAGCUUGCUGCUAAAUAUGCUGGAGCUGGAGGUGUACUUCGUCAAGGGGGCAUGUCGGGAGCAGGAGGAGUACCUAGCGGUGUACCUGGAGCAGGUGGGGUCCCUGGUUAUGGAGUUGGAGCUGGAGGUGUACUUCGUCAAGGGGGCAUGGCCGGAGCAGGAGGUGUACCUAGCGGCGUACCUGGAGCAGAUGGGGUCCCUGGUUAUGGAGUUGGAGCUGGUGGUGUACCUGGUUACGGAGGUGGAGCAGGAGGCAUACCUGGAUUCGGAGGCGUAGCCAGAGCAGGAGGCGUACCUGGUUACGGGGGCGGAGCCGGACCAGGAGGCGUACCUGGGGCAGGGGGCGUCCCUGGCUCAGGUGGGUAUGGAUACCCAGGGGGUUACCCAGGUGGAGGGCGGUACCCAGGGGCUGGCCUAGGUGUAGGAGGUGCCUACCCCGGAGGAGCUGGAUCUAAGGCAGCCAAAUAUGGUCAGGGUGGAGCAGGCACUGGAGCUGGUGGUGGGCUCAGCCAGGGAGUGCCUGCAUCUGGGAUUGGAACCGGAAGACUGCCUGGUGGGGCUGGAGGGGAACCAGGAGGCGGUUACAGGCCUGGCGGUAGCUUCGGUCCUGGAGGUGGAGUUGGACCAGGUGGGGCCAGUUAUGGACCAGGUGGGGCCGGCUAUGGACCAGGUGGAGCUGGACCUGGUGGCUAUGGACCAGGUAGUGCUGGAAGUUAUGGAACAGGUGGAGGGGUUGGACCAGGUGGUGCCGGGGAAGGACAUGGUGGAGCUGGCUAUGGACCAGGUGGAGGAGUUGGUGGAGUGCCUGGUGGUGGACACAGACCCGGAGGUGGUUUACCUGGUAGUGGUGCUGGUUACGGACCUGGUGCUGGUGUUGGAGGAUAUGAUGCAAAUGCUAAAGCUCGUAAAUAUGGUAUGCUAAGUGGUGUCCUUGGGACCCCAGGAGGAGGACAGGCAGCCAGCCUGGGAGGAGUACCAGGAGGGGGAGCAGGGACUGGAGUAGGCCAGGGUGGAGUGCCUGGAUCUGGGCUUGGUGGUGGUGGAGGUGUCCCUGGUGGUUAUGGUCCUGGAGCUGGAUUUGGACCUGGCCGUGGAACCGGUGGUGGUUAUGGACCAGGAGUGGGUGCUGGGACUGGACUUGGCCAGGGAGCAGGGCCUGGAGCUGGGCUUGGUGCUGGUGGAGUGCCUGGUGGUGGAUACAGACCCGGAGGUGGUUUACCUGGUAGUGGUGCUGGUUACGGACCUGGUGCUGGUGUUGGAGGAUAUCCUGCUGGGGCUAAGUCUCUGAAAUACGGUCCAGGAGGAGGUGGAGGAGCUCCGGGUGGAGGCCUUGGUGGGCGAUUCGGUGCCCCGGGAGGAGGUCUGCCAGGAGGAGGCUACGGACCAGGGGCAGGAGGCGCCUUAGGAGCAGGAGAAGCAGGAGCAGGAGGAAGAGUGCCUGGGGGUGGAUACGGGACCGGAGCUGGGCCUGGUGCAGGGUAUGGAGCAGGAACAGGGCCUGGAGCUGGGUACGGUCAGGGAGCAGGAGGAGUCCCUGGAGGAGGCUAUGAAGCUAGGGCAAGAGCAGGAGGACUACCUGGGGCCGGAUAUGGACCUGGAAGAGGAUAUGGAGCCGGAUCAAAACCUGCUAAAUAUGGACAAGUUGCUGGUGGGGCCGGUGGGGCCCUUGGAGGAGGAGCUGGACAAGGAUUCGGAGGGGUACCAGGUGGCUAUGGACCAGGUGGCUUCGGAGCUGGACCAGGUGGCUUCGGAGCCGGACCAGGUGGCUAUGGAGCCGGACCAGGUGGCUUUGGAGCCGGACCAGGUGGCGUUGGAGCCGGGGGCGGAGCAGGAUUAGGAGGGGUGCCAGGUGGGCUUCCAGGAGGGUACAGCGGUUCUCCCUGGGGGAAAAGGGGCUAUGGUACUGGAUCUGGAUUUAAGGCAGACAAAUAUGGACCAGGUGGGGCAGGAGGGGCCCUUGGUGCUGGGGCAGCUGGAGGUGCAGGGGCUGGGACAGGGACUGGGACCGGGACCAGAGCUGGGACAGGUGCUGGAGGAGGUGCAGGACCUACACCUGGCCCUGGCACAAGAGCAGGAGGAGAUGGCACUGGGACAGGAGCAGGAGGAGACAGGAUAGGCGCAGGAGGAGCAGGCACAGGAGGUGAGCCUGGUGGUGCCGGUGGGGUUCUAGAAGGAUCUGGAAGUUCUGCUGGCCCAGGAGAUGGCACCGGCGUCACAGCUGGUGCUGUUGGAGGAGGGGUGGGAGACACAGGAAUCCCUAGCAUUGGAGGAAAACCAGAUCAAUCGGGGCUCGGGGGGACAGCAAUCCCAGGCAUCGCUAUUAUCAUUAGUGACACAGCCCCUGAUUCACCCAGUGGAAUUGCAGUGCCAGAAACUGGGGCUGGAGUUGUUCAACCCAGUGCUGGGGCUGGAGUUGAUGGGGUAGGAGUUCCCUCUGGAGGUGCUGCUAACGGUGAUAUCACUGGAGGGGGGACUCUACCUGGAGCUAAACCUCUGAAGGCUCCAAGAGGAGAUACACCUGGUGAAGGAGAGGGAGAUGCAGGAGGAGGAGCAAGAGGUGUUGGUGGAGGUCCUGAUGGUGCAGGAGGAGCAGGCAGUGGAUCUGGCGGAGUAGGAAGAGAUGGUGAUGGUAGAGGAGGAGGACCAGGAGGAGCAGACAGUGGAUCUGGCGGUGUAGGAAGAGAUGGUGAUGGUAAAGGAGGAGGAGGACCGGGAGGAGCAGGGGGGAAAGACGGUGGUGCAGUUAGAGUGGGAGGAAGUCCUAACGGUACAGGGGGAGCUGGAGGUUCAGGAGUUGGAGGAGCAGGAGUAGAACCUGGAGGAGGUGCAGGACCAGGCAGUAGUGACAAACCACCCAAAGGUUAUGGAGCAGGUGGGGCUGGCAGUCUGGGUGCAGGAGGUGCUGGAGGAGCAGCUCUGGUCCCUGGGACUGGUGGUGCCGGUGAUAUAGGAGCUGGAACCCCCAAACCAGGAAAAAGCUACGGAGUUGGUGGAGUCCUGCCAGGUGGAGGUCUACGUUACCCAACUGGGGCUAGAGAAGGACUGGGCUCAGGGAAGCCGGGCAAAGGAUAUGGUGCUGGCCAAUUUGGAGCAGGAGGACGACGUCCUGGAGGAUAUGGUGCCGGACCAGGCGGAUACGGAGCCAGUCCUGGAGGAUAUGGCACUGGACCCGGUGGUUAUGGGGCCAGACCCGGUGGUUAUGGUGCUGGUCCAGGUGGUUAUGGGGCUGGAGCUGGUCCUGGUGGCUAUGGUGCUGGGCCAGGUGGAUAUGGUGCUGGACAAGGUGGCUAUGGUGCUGGGCCAAGUGGCUACGGGACAGGGGCUGGGCCUGGAGGAUAUGGAUCCAAGCCAUACAAGACUGGAGGUGCUGGAGCCGGUGGUGUUGGUGGAGGUCUGGGUGGAGCUGGCAGCCUGGGUGCCAUAGGAGCCGGACCAGGAGGAGUGGGUGGAGGUCAAGGAGGCGGUCUAGGUGGAGGUCAAGGUGGAGCUGGACCAGGUGGAUAUAUACCAGGUGGAGUUGGUAGCAGAUACCCCACAGGUGCUGGAACUGGUACAGGAACUGGCACUGGAAAACCACCUAAUAGCUAUGGGAGAGCUGUUGGAGCUGGAGAUGGGCUUGGUGGUUAUGGUGGCGGAACAGUUGGUUAUGGACCAGGAGGAACUGGGGUCGGACUAGGUGGGGCUGGGGCCGGGCAAGGUGGAUAUGGUGCCGGACAUAAAGGUUAUGGACCAGGUGGAGCAGGGCCGGGAGGAGCUGGGGUCAGACCAGGUGGAGCAGAGGCCGGACCUGGUGGCUAUGGCGCAGGGCCUGGAGGUUAUGGGCCUGGGGCUGGUCUUGGUCCUGGAGGUUAUGGGGCUGAACCUGGUGGCUAUGGACCAGGUAGAGCAGGGCCGGGAGGAGCUGGGGUCAGACCAGGUGGAGCCAGACCAGGUGGAGCAGAGGCAGGACCUGGUGGCUAUGGUGCUGGGCCUGGAGGUUAUGGGCCUGGGGCUGGUCUUGGUCCUGGCGGAGCUGGUCCUGGAGGUUAUGGGGCUGGACCUGGUGGCUAUGGACCUGGUGGCUAUGGACCAGGUGGCGCUGGAUCUCAUAAAUAUGGUAUGCUAAGUGGUUCCCUUGGAGGGGGACAAGCAGCUGGCCAGGGAAGAGUGCCAGGAGGGGGAGCAAGGACUGGGCUAGGUCAGGGAGGAGUGCCUGGAGGAGGAGCAGGUACUGGGCUAGGCCAUGGAGGAGUGCCUGGAUCUGGGCUUGGUGGCGGUAGUGGUCCGGGUGCUGGGUAUGGACCUGCCAUUGGAACCCAUGGAGGUUAUGGACCAGGAGGUGGUGCUGGGACCGGACUUGGUCAGGGAAGAGCCGGGGUCGGACCAGGUGGCUAUGGACCACUUGGAGCUGGGGCUGGACAGGGAACUGGAGCUGGAGGAUAUGACGCAAAUGCUAAAGCUCGUAAAUAUGGUAUGCUAAGUGGUACCAUUGGAGGAGGACAAGCAGCUGGCCAGGGAAGUGUGCCAGGAGGGGGAGCAGGGACUGGAGUAGGCCAGGGUGGAGUGCCUGGAUCUGGGCUUGGUGGUGGUGGAGGUGUCCCCGGUGGUUAUGGUCCUGGAGCAGGAUUUGGACCUGGUGGUGGAACUGUUGGUGGUUAUGGACCAGGAGGGGGUGCUGGGACCGGACUUGGCCAGGGAGGAGUUGGGGCCAUACCAGAUGGCUAUGGGACUGGGCCUGGUGGUUAUGGACCAGGUGGAGCCGGACAGGGUGCAGUGAAGCCAAACAAAUCAGGUUAUGGCUCCUCCUCCUCGGGUGGAGCUCUCUUUGGACCAGGUGGUGGAGCAGGUGGGGUACCUGGUGCUGGAGCUACCGGGCGAAGAGGAGGAGUACCAGGAGGCUACGGAGUAGGAGAAGCGGGACAGUCAGGGCAGAAAUCAAAGGCACAGAAGGCAGCCAAAUACACAGCCAUGCAAGGCUUCCUGGGAGCACGCAGCUACAGAGGGGUCGCCGACUGCCAGGGUAUAUACUGCGGACGGAGGAGGAAGUGAGAGAGCAGCAAAAAGAAGUGACCUCAUCAACAACAUUGUGGUGCUACUGCAUGAUUCAAUAAUGUACUGAUUUUCAACUACUAAUAUGUCCCUUUUUUCUUUUAAAGUGUGAAUCUCGGGCAAUGGCAAAACCAGAGCCUGUUUGAUCUUUUAUUCUGAAACUGUGAUCAUGUGUUUAUUGUUCCUCACCUGUACUUUAGCCCCUCCUGUGUGUACCCCAUUUACCCAUUUAGCUCCACCACGAAUCAUGUUUGUUUAAAACACUGAUACUAAGGCGUCCCACAACGGAGUGCCUCUAGACCUGUCUGUAUGCUGACUAAACUGUCUGUUUUCUGAUUAAUGUGACUAACAUCCCUCUAUAAAGCUAUGCUAUUGACACACAGGCCCAGACUUACUCAACAUUUGCACCUGCACUUUUCAAUAUACCUAGUUUUUGUUCAAGUUGUUUAGUUGCAAACUUUUACAAUAUCUGGCCCAAGGCGUCUUGAGAUAUAUACACACACUGCUGCCAUAAAUGAAAAUCAUAGGAGAUAUCUUUAGAGUGGUAAUCUUACAACCACCAUUUUUGAUUUAGAACUGUGUCCACUCUGAACCCUCAAAAGGCAGUGUGUGUCCACAGCAACACUCAUGUUCUAACUCUGAUUCUAGUUUCAGCAGUUCUCAAAAAAAAGGAGCUUAUUGCCCUUAGUAAAGGUUUUAAGAUCUUAUAUGCAGUCGUGUAUAAUGUCUUUACAGAAUAUAUAUAGUAAGGUUUAACUAAGCCACUUGCCUGAAAUAUUAUCAACAUCUUUCUGAAUGGCUGUAUAACACUGAAUUGCUGUGAGUGUUUUGAAUACUUAAUCACACCGAUAUGACUGUGUUAGUACAGCCAUAGUUGAGAUGACUGAAAAUGCAAACGUAUAUUUUCUUUGUUUAAAAUCCUCAUCUUGGCUUUACUGAGAGCAACAGUACCUACAUGACAUUUGCAGUUGAUUAAAACUAAUAUUAUAAUCAUGCAAUCCAGAGAUUGGCCUGUUUUCAGACCUAUCACCGUAAAACAUAAUUCUGUUAACUCAAAUUAUUUGAAAAACUGAUUGCCUUGACUCAUUAAAUUAAAGCAACACAUUUUUUUGUAAGUUACCAGUACUCAGUUCAUUUUGUUUUAGUGACUUAGAAGAUUAUGUUACACAGUGAACUGUAGAGAGCAUAUAACUGCAGACUGUUGACAAAAGCCCAACGUUUUUACGCGCGUUAAUUCACCCAGGAAAUAGAAUGCAUGGGAGAGAAUGAGAGACAACAGAUGGGCCUCAACGGUGUCAUUACACAUCAGUUUAGAAAGCAAGUCUAUUUCUCUCCACAUCUACAAGAAGCAAUGCUGGUAAAAUGAGCAAAUAAAUUGCCAGAAAAUAGACUGUUUGCAUCGUUAUGUCUGGAAAUGUGAAAUGUAUAGUUAAACUGAUCAACACUGAAUAGACACUUUUUAACUGCCAAUACAUAUAUGAAAACAAAUGCAUAGAAUUUCGAUCACAGGCAUAUAGCCUAGGCCAGGGGUCUCCAAAGUUUUUUCUAGCCUGAGUUACUUUAAGAAAAAUGUAACAUGUCGCUUCUCUUCUCCCAUUCAACUCUUCCUCAGGUCCUUAGUGUAUAAGAGAAAGUAGUGCACUGUUUUCUGUCAAUAUACCUGGUAAAAUAAGGAUUAAUAAACAACUCUAAGGGGAGACCUAUAAAGUCAGAUUUGUUUUCUCCAAAAUUAUGUUUUCAAUUUCCCAAAAUACGUUUUCUCUGUUUUAUAUUUUCUGGUUUAAGAUGUUGAUUUUACUCUUAAAAUUACAAUUGUUCAUAGAGAAGUUUGUUCUGAGGACAUGUCAAUGGUUAAAUCACAUCAGGAUACCCUUUUUUUUGGGGGGGACAAAUAGAUUUCCCCUUUAUUGUGCAUCUAGCGAGUAAGGAAUGUGCCGUCUAAUGUGCCAGUCUGGCGAUGGUUCUGUACUGCUGCUGCUGCUCAUUUAAUGGCAAAGUUAGUAAAUAACAAAUAGAUACAAAUGAUAUAUUUACUUAUAUCAUUUAUAUAUAAACUUCUGCCUGGUAAGCCUACUGCCACAAGACGGUUAUCGCAUCACCUGGCUACACACGGAGUGAUUGACAAACGCGCCACACCAUAUACAGUAGACAGACGCGCAAUACUACCGGAAAUGAAUUGGCAGAUAUUGUGAAGGUUUAAUUCUCUAUGCCAAUAGUGGCUAACAAGGGGUGGGAUAAUGUCAAUGUUGAGUUGUUUAGAUAGGUGGUAGCUUGCAGUGUCGGAUAAUUGGGAGAUUUGUUUAUGACAGUUUGCGAUGGAACAGAGGAAAAAUUGCAUAUGCUUUCAGAAUUGUUUGGUGAGCUACUCAUAGGUGAGCUGCGAGCUACUGGUAGCUCAUGAUCGACCUGCUGGAGACCCCAGGCCUUGGCAGACUACGGCUGGGAAACUCGAGGAACUACGAUUUCAAGAGAGAAUACUAUUAUGUAGGAAGAACGAACUAGCUAAAUUCCUUAUAGACUGCUCGGGUUUAUUAGCUACAACUCUCCUCAUGUUCAUGAAUAACAAUUUUUUAGCCUGUGCAGGCAGGUACGGUGGCUCCCAUAGGACAUCUAAGAUGAGUCAAAAGGAACACACAAAAAUAGUUCCCAGGUGCUAUAUAGCGAACAUAACAAUUACAACUGUUUAUUAUGGAUUAUCAUGACGAUUACGUUGGCAUACGCUACGCAGUAUAUGUGAAUUGACGCUGGCCUCUCGCAAGCAAAUUUCACACCGUUGACAGGCAUCUCCGGGUGUAAUUUCGGUUUAACACCGAUGCAGUUCAAGUCUUUUCACUCUGAACUUAAACUAUUUGUUUACUUUAGCUUUUUAAAUUAUGAAGGAAAAAAAUGCUAAAACAUUUUCAACAAUGUCUACUCUUCUGAUUUAAAAAAAAAUAAGUGCUUUAUUUUUUUACAUUGUCUUUGAAUGCUCUCUAAUGCUAGUGUUACCUGAGGUGUCAUGUUACAUGUUUAAUGAAACGUUGUAAUCUUGAGUUAUCUAUGGGCUAUAGUGUUUAUAUCAUUAAGCCCAGACAGACAAAGAACAUCUGUGUUUUACCUUAGAAGAGAAUGAUUCACUUUUUUUUACACAGUACACAGUUUUUAAAUAAAGAAAUUACCUGAA
Molecule: long non-coding RNA, 10412 nt
Organism: Oncorhynchus tshawytscha (Chinook salmon)
Lineage: Eukaryota; Metazoa; Chordata; Actinopteri; Salmoniformes; Salmonidae
Source: Ensembl